GUUUGAAGUAUGUUUCAUGGCACAGAGGUGAUCAGAAGUCUCCGUUUUAAUCCCAGGUUUUAAAGCAUCUGCUUUGUUCCCUAAGCAAUGCAAAGUGUUACUGAGAUUUUCUGGCGCUUCAGUUUUCAGUUUUAUUGGUGUUGAAUAUUUCUUAUCCACUAAUUGCUGCUUUUCACUCAGGGUCCUCCUUGUGUCAGGUUUCUUUUUCUUUGUAGCUCUCAGAGGCUCGGCUAACAUCCGUACUUCUCUGGGAAACGCUGUGAGCACCUGUAUGGCUCCGGCUUUUAUCUUAGCUUCCAAUCCCUCUUCAGUGCCAAAUUCAUCUGUUUGUGAAAUUUUGUAGAGAGGUAACACAUGGAGCUGCUCAUCACUUGGAAUCACCCCGACUCUCCGGUUGUCCUCCUUUGUUA
Molecule: long non-coding RNA, 410 nt
Filed under: Gallus gallus (chicken)
Lineage: Eukaryota; Metazoa; Chordata; Aves; Galliformes; Phasianidae
Source: RNAcentral